AACGAACGCUGGCGGCAUGCCUAACACAUGCAAGUCGAACGAAGUCUUCGGACUUAGUGGCGCACGGGUGCGUAACGCGUGGGAAUCUGCCCUUGGGUGCGGAAUAACUUCUCGAAAGGGAUGCUAAUACCGCAUAAUGUCGUAAGACCAAAGAUUUAUCGCCCAAGGAUGAGCCCGCGUAAGAUUAGCUAGUUGGUGGGGUAAAAGCCUACCAAGGCGACGAUCUUUAGCUGGUCUGAGAGGAUGAUCAGCCACACUGGGACUGAGACACGGCCCAGACUCCUACGGGAGGCAGCAGUGGGGAAUAUUGGACAAUGGGGGAAACCCUGAUCCAGCCAUGCCGCGUGUGUGAAGAAGGCCUUCGGGUUUGGUUAAAGGACACUUUAAGUACGAGGAGGAAGG
This 402-nucleotide ribosomal RNA is filed under the name uncultured bacterium. Its description in RNAcentral is "bacterial SSU rRNA". It matches the Rfam family "Bacterial small subunit ribosomal RNA", at positions 29 to 454 of the family's 1533-position model. The record is from RNAcentral.